This 440-nucleotide ribosomal RNA is filed under the name uncultured bacterium. Its description in RNAcentral is "partial 16S ribosomal RNA". It matches the Rfam family "Bacterial small subunit ribosomal RNA", at positions 338 to 795 of the family's 1533-position model. The record is from RNAcentral.
CCUACGGGUGGCAGCAGUGGGGGAUAUUGCACAAUGGGGGAAACCCUGAUGCAGCGACGCCGCGUGGGUGAAGAAGCGCCUCGGCGCGUAAAGCCCUGUCAGCAGGGAAGAAAAUGACGGUACCUGAAGAAGAAGCCCCGGCUAACUACGUGCCAGCAGCCGCGGUAAUACGUAGGGGGCAAGCGUUAUCCGGAUUUACUGGGUGUAAAGGGGGCGCAGGCGGCGAUGCAAGCCAGGAGUGGAAGUCCGGGGCCCAACCCCGGGACUGCCCUUGGAACUGCGUGGCUAGAGUGCAGGAGGGGCAGGCGGAAUUCGUGGUGUAGCGGUGAAAUGCGUAGAUAUCAGGAGGAACACCGGUGGCGAAGGCGGCCUGCUGGACUGCAACUGACGUUGAGGCCCGAAAGCGUGGGGAGCAAACAGGAUUAGAUACCCCAGUAGUC